AACGCAAAUUGCACUCUCCGGUUUUCCGGGAGAGUAUGCCUGUUUGAGGGUCUGUUUAAAAAACAAUCGAGGCUGCUGCUGUGUGGUGGCGCCUCGGAAUUGGGUCAUCUUCCACCUUUCGGGGUUGUAAGCGACUUAAAAUUUUUUUUACGAUUUCGAUGAGCGUGUUUAAGGAUAUUCCUAUACGUUCAUGAUAUCGAAAUUCCCCUAUUAGGGGUGACCGCCGCGUCGGUCUCACUCCUAUAAUUAUCAUCAAAGGACCUCAGACAGGUAAGAUUACCCGCUGAACUUAA
Molecule: unclassified non-coding RNA, 293 nt
Filed under: uncultured soil eukaryote
Lineage: Eukaryota
Description: sequence contains 5.8S rRNA gene, ITS2, 28S rRNA gene
Source: RNAcentral